AGCAAUUUGGCGCAGUGGAAGCGCGGUAUGUUUACACCAUCAAUCAGUUCAAAUCGAGCGAUGACUAACUCAUUCCAGCCGGGCUCAUAACCCGGAGGUCGCACGAUCGAAACGUGCAAUUGCUA
Non-coding RNA from Dactylonectria estremocensis, 125 nucleotides. The record is from the annotation of a GenBank genome assembly. NCBI's taxonomy places the organism in Eukaryota, Fungi, Ascomycota, Sordariomycetes, Hypocreales, Nectriaceae.